CCUCUUAAAGAUUCUACGACCCUUCAGAAACACUACUGCGGGCAGCAAGCCUUUCAUACAAGCACAUUCGCAGAACAUUCCAGAUCCCAUCUUUAGGGAUAUCUCUAUAUCAUUGAAGUCAUCAUACUGCUGAGAAAAGCAGAUAGGGUGUGCUGAGCUGGGAAACAGAUGAAGCAACAGAAGAACAGCAGAAAAAGCAGUCACUGCCUUUCCAGGGGCAGCAGCAGGAAGAGGGCAGCUGCAGACAGAAACAGGCCUGGGAACUUUAAGGACAAGAUGCACUGACUUCUACCAGUAGCUGCCGCAGAAAGCAGCUAUGGACAAUUAAAUUAUAAGCCUCCGUGAUGUGCACCUCUAUUAAAGUGUUCUUGAUGUUUCUGGUUUCUAAUUCAGGAAA
Long non-coding RNA from Mastomys coucha (southern multimammate mouse), 397 nucleotides. RefSeq lists it as uncharacterized. The record is from RefSeq and is a predicted model, not a curated record. The transcript is spliced from 2 exons. NCBI's taxonomy places the organism in Eukaryota, Metazoa, Chordata, Mammalia, Rodentia, Muridae.